RNAcentral lists this ribosomal RNA (500 nucleotides) under uncultured bacterium. Its description in RNAcentral is "partial 16S ribosomal RNA". It matches the Rfam family "Bacterial small subunit ribosomal RNA", at positions 30 to 523 of the family's 1533-position model. The record is from RNAcentral.
AUUGAACGCUGGCGGAAUGCUUUACACAUGCAAGUCGAACGGCAGCACGGACUUCGGUCUGGUGGCGAGUGGCGAACGGGUGAGUAAUGUAUCGGAACGUGCCCAGUCGUGGGGGAUAACGUAGUGAAAAUUACGCUAAUACCGCAUACGAUCUAUGGAUGAAAGCGGGGGAUCGCAAGACCUCGCGCGAUUGGAGCGGCCGAUAUCAGAUUAGGUAGUUGGUGGGGUAAAGGCCCACCAAGCCAAAGAUCUGUAGCUGGUCUGAGAGGACGACCAGCCACACUGGAACUGAGACACGGUCCAGACUCCUACGGGAGGCAGCAGUGGAGAAUUUUGGACAAUGGGCGAGAGCCUGCUCCAGCCAUUCCGCGUGCAGGAUGAAGGCCCUCGGGUUGUAAACUGCUUUUGUACAGAACGAAAAGGUUUCUACUAAUACUAGGAGCUCAUGACGGUACUGUAAGAAUAAGCACCGGCUAACUACGUGCCAGCAGCCGCAGUAA